This 396-nucleotide ribosomal RNA is filed under the name uncultured bacterium. RNAcentral's name for it is "partial 16S ribosomal RNA". It matches the Rfam family "Bacterial small subunit ribosomal RNA", at positions 523 to 918 of the family's 1533-position model. The record is from RNAcentral.
AUACGUAGGUGGCGAGCGUUGUCCGGAAUGAUUGGGCGUAAAGGGCGCGUAGGCGGCCCGGUAAGUCUGGAGUGAAAGUCCUGCUUUUAAGGUGGGAAUUGCUUUGGAUACUGUCGGGCUUGAGUGCAGGAGAGGUAAGUGGAAUUCCCAGUGUAGCGGUGAAAUGCGUAGAGAUUGGGAGGAACACUAGUGGCGAAGGCGACUUACUGGGCUCUAACUGACGCUGAGGCUCGAAAGUGUGGGGAGCAAACAGGAUUAGAUACCCUGGUAGUCCACACUGUAAACGAUGAUUACUAGGUGUGGGGGGUCUGACCCCUUCCGUGCCGCAGUUAACGCAAUAAGUAAUCCACCUGGGGAGUACGACCGCAAGGUUGAAACUUAAAUGAAUUGGCGGGG